Molecule: non-coding RNA, 954 nt
Filed under: Oedalechilus labeo (boxlip mullet)
Lineage: Eukaryota; Metazoa; Chordata; Actinopteri; Mugiliformes; Mugilidae
Description: partial 12S ribosomal RNA
Rfam family: Bacterial small subunit ribosomal RNA
Source: RNAcentral
AAAAGCUUGGUCCUGGCUUUUCUGUCGCCUCCGGCUAGAUUUACACAUGCAAGUAUCCGCACCCCUGUGCGAAUGCCCUGACAGCUCCCCUUCCCGGGAGCAAGGAACUGGUAUCAGGCACUAUUAAUAUUUUCGCCCAUGACACCUUGCUCGGCCACACCCUCACGGGUAUUCAGCAGUGAUAAACAUUAAGCCAUAAGUGAAAACUUGACUUAGUUACAGCCCCUAGGGCCGGUAAAACUCGUGCCAGCCACCGCGGUUAUACGAGAGGCCCAAGCUGACAGCCAUUGGCGUAAAGAGUGGUUUAGUAAAUCUUAAACAUAACUAAAGUCGAACGCCCCCAAGACCGUUAUACGUGUUCGGAGGUAUGAAGUCCAGCUACGAAAGUGACUUUAACAGACCUGACCCCACGAAAGCUGUGAAACAAACUGGGAUUAGAUACCCCACUAUGCUCAGCCCUAAACUUUGAUAGUUUAACUACACUCACUAUCCGCCCGGGUACUACGAGCUUUAGCUUAAAACCCAAAGGACUUGGCGGUGCUUAAGACCCACCUAGAGGAGCCUGUUCUAUAACCGAUACCCCCCGUUUAACCUCACCCUCUCUUGUUCAUACCGCCUAUAUACCGCCGUCGUCAGCUCACCCUGUGAAGGAUCUGUAGUAAGCAAAAUUGGCAUGGCCCAAAACGCCAGGUCGAGGUGUAGCGUAUGAGAGGGGAAGAUAAUGGGCUACAUUUCCUAACCAGGAAACACGGACAAUAUUCUGAAAUGACUAUUCUACAAGGAGGAUUUAGCAGUAAAUGAGAAGCAGAGAGUCUCAUUGAAGUCGGCCCUAAAGCGCGCACAUACCGCCCGUCACUCUCCCCGAAAUAAGAAACAUCUUAUACCUAAUUAGCCCUAUAAACAUAAGGGGAGGCAAGUCGUAACAUGGUAAGUGUACCGGAAGGUGCACUUGGA